UUUAUUGGAGAGUUUGAUCCUGGCUCAGGAUGAACGCUGGCGGCGUGCCUAAUACAUGCAAGUCGAGCGAAUGGAUUAAGAGCUUGCUCUUAUGAAGUUAGCGGCGGACGGGUGAGUAACACGUGGGUAACCUGCCCAUAAGACUGGGAUAACUCCGGGAAACCGGGGCUAAUACCGGAUAACAUUUUGAACCGCAUGGUUCGAAAUUGAAAGGCGGCUUCGGCUGUCACUUAUGGAUGGACCCGCGUCGCAUUAGCUAGUUGGUGAGGUAACGGCUCACCAAGGCAACGAUGCGUAGCCGACCUGAGAGGGUGAUCGGCCACACUGGGACUGAGACACGGCCCAGACUCCUACGGGAGGCAGCAGUAGGGAAUCUUCCGCAAUGGACGAAAGUCUGACGGAGCAACGCCGCGUGAGUGAUGAAGGCUUUCGGGUCGUAAAACUCUGUUGUUAGGGAAGAACAAG
Molecule: ribosomal RNA, 465 nt
Filed under: Bacillus anthracis (anthrax bacterium)
Lineage: Bacteria; Bacillati; Bacillota; Bacilli; Caryophanales; Bacillaceae
Description: bacterial SSU rRNA
Rfam family: Bacterial small subunit ribosomal RNA
Source: RNAcentral